Molecule: long non-coding RNA, 579 nt
Filed under: Setaria viridis
Lineage: Eukaryota; Viridiplantae; Streptophyta; Magnoliopsida; Poales; Poaceae
Description: long non-coding RNA (SVIR_LNC001230)
Source: RNAcentral
UUUUUAAUUAAGGUUAUUUGAUUCAAACGUAGGGUUAUCAUGUUAUUUUUAAUAAUGGCAUGUGUGGGUAAUAUAUAUGCAAAUUUAAUGGGUUACUUUUUAAGUUUUUAAAUAAUAGUGGUGGUCAAUUCGGUCGCAAUUUAGGGGGUUAUUUUAAAUAUUGUUUAUAAUGGCAUAAGUGGGUAAUUUUGAUGAAGAUUAGAGGGUUACUUUAGUUUAUUUUAUAUAAUGGUAGAGGUGGGUAAUUUAUAUAUAGAUUUAGGGGGUUACUUUAGACUAUUUUCAUAAUGGCAUAAGUAGGUAAUUUUUAGAAAAUAUAAUAGAUUCAAUGGCUAUGAUGAUUUGAAUCUAUCGAUUGAUGGUCGGAUGUUUUGCUUUUUUUGAGAAUUUCUUUAGAGUGUCCACCUAGGAAUCCUAGGUGGCUUCACCUGGAGGCUUCAAAAGGAGCCUCCAAUUAGUAAUAGUAAGAUUUAAUACUCCUAAUUAGUAUCCAAACAUCCGAUGUGAUAGGAGCUAAAGUCUAGCUCAUAGGAAACAAACACCCUCUAACUCUACAUCGCUGGAAAGACUGCCUUUUUU